This 78-nucleotide transfer RNA is filed under the name Bacteroidales bacterium. Its description in RNAcentral is "tRNA-Val". It matches the Rfam family "tRNA". From Rfam's summary of the family: Transfer RNA (tRNA) molecules are approximately 80 nucleotides in length. Their secondary structure includes four short double-helical elements and three loops (D, anti-codon, and T loops). The record is from RNAcentral. Lineage: Bacteria; Pseudomonadati; Bacteroidota; Bacteroidia; Bacteroidales.
GGGAUGUUAGCUCAGUUGGUUCAGAGCGCAUGCUUCACACGCAUGAGGUCACAGGUUCAAAUCCUGCACAUCCCACCA